Molecule: ribosomal RNA, 459 nt
Filed under: uncultured bacterium
Lineage: Bacteria
Description: partial 16S ribosomal RNA
Rfam family: Bacterial small subunit ribosomal RNA
Source: RNAcentral
CCUACGGGCGGCAGCAGUGAGGAAUAUUGGUCAAUGGUCGUGAGCCUGAACCAGCCAAGUCGCGUGCGGGAUGACGGCCCUAUGGAUUGUAAACUUCUUUUGUCCGGGGGUAAAAUACGCCACGCGUGGUGUUUCGUGAGUACCCCAUGAAUAAGCAUCGGCUAACUCCGUGCCAGCAGCCGCGGUAAUACGGAGGGUGCGUGCGUUAUCCGGAUUUAUUGGGUUUAAAGGGAGCGUGGGCGGAAGAUCAAGCCGGCGGUAAAAUUUCGUGGCUCAACCUUUUCGAGCCGUUGGAACUGGUGUGCUUGAGUGAGUGAGAAGUAUGCGGAAUGCGUGGUGUAGCGGUGAAAUGCUUAGAUAUCACGCAGAACUCCGAUUGCGAAGGCAGCAUACCGGCGCUCAACUGACGCUGAUGCACGAAAGUGUGGGUAUCGAACAGGAUUAGAUACCCUAGUAGUC